This 427-nucleotide ribosomal RNA is filed under the name uncultured bacterium. Its description in RNAcentral is "partial 16S ribosomal RNA". It matches the Rfam family "Bacterial small subunit ribosomal RNA", at positions 355 to 774 of the family's 1533-position model. The record is from RNAcentral.
UGGGGAAUAUUGGACAAUGGGGGCAACCCUGAUCCAGCCAUGCCGCGUGUGUGAAGAAGGCCUUUUGGUUGUAAAGCACUUUAAGCAGUGAAGAAGACUCCAUGGUUAAUACCCAUGGACGAUGACAUUAGCUGCAGAAUAAGCACCGGCUAACUCUGUGCCAGCAGCCGCGGUAAUACAGAGGGUGCAAGCGUUAAUCGGAAUUACUGGGCGUAAAGCGAGCGUAGGUGGCUUGAUAAGUCAGAUGUGAAAGCCCCGGGCUUAACCUGGGAACGGCAUCUGAUACUGUUAGGCUAGAGUAGGUGAGAGGAAGGUAGAAUUCCAGGUGUAGCGGUGAAAUGCGUAGAGAUCUGGAGGAAUACCGAUGGCGAAGGCAGCCUUCUGGCAUCAUACUGACACUAAGGUUCGAAAGCGUGGGUAGCAAACA